RNAcentral lists this ribosomal RNA (253 nucleotides) under uncultured bacterium. RNAcentral describes it as "partial 16S ribosomal RNA". It matches the Rfam family "Bacterial small subunit ribosomal RNA", at positions 524 to 776 of the family's 1533-position model. The record is from RNAcentral.
GACGUAGGAUGCAAGCGUUGUCCGGAUUUAUUGGGCGUAAAGAGUUCGUAGGCGGUUCGUUAAGUCUGAUGUUAAAGAUCGGGGCUUAACCCCGAGCCUGCAGUGGAUACGGGCAGACUAGAGGUAGGUAGGGGAGAAUGGAAUUCCCGGUGUAGUGGUGAAAUGCGUAGAUAUCGGGAGGAACACCAGUGGCGAAGGCGACUUCCUGGCCUGUUCUUGACGCUGAGGCGCGAAAGCUAGGGGAGCAAACGGG